RNAcentral lists this ribosomal RNA (513 nucleotides) under uncultured bacterium. RNAcentral's name for it is "bacterial SSU rRNA". It matches the Rfam family "Bacterial small subunit ribosomal RNA", at positions 8 to 526 of the family's 1533-position model. The record is from RNAcentral.
AGAGUUUGAUCAUGGCUCAGGACGAACGCUGGCGGCGUGCUUAACACAUGCAAGUCGAGCGGAAAGGCUCCUUCGGGGGUACUCGAGCGGCGAACGGGUGAGUAACACGUGAGUAAUCUGCCCUUCACUUCGGGAUAACUGCCUGAAAGGGUGGCUAAUACCGGGUAUUCUCCUUGCACCGCAUGGUGUGGGGUGGGAAGUUUUUUCGGUGGGGGAUGUGCUCGCGGCCUAUCAGCUUGUUGGUGGGGUAAUGGCCUACCAAGGCUUUGACGGGUAGCCGGCCUGAGAGGGUGACCGGCCACACUGGGACUGAGACACGGCCCAGACUCCUACGGGAGGCAGCAGUGGGGAAUAUUGGACAAUGGGCGGAAGCCUGAUCCAGCAACGCCGCGUGAGGGAUGACGGCCUUCGGGUUGUAAACCUCUUUCAGCACAGACGAAGCGCCUGUGAAGGUGGUGACGGUAUGUGCAGAAGAAGCACCGGCCAACUACGUGCCAGCAGCCGCGGUAAUAC